This 154-nucleotide unclassified non-coding RNA is filed under the name Brucella sp. 191011898. Its description in RNAcentral is "BASRCI153". Lineage: Bacteria; Pseudomonadati; Pseudomonadota; Alphaproteobacteria; Hyphomicrobiales; Brucellaceae. The record is from RNAcentral.
GCAUGUCUCCCGAAAGCGGAAACCGCCACUCGGGAAAAUCAGUCCACGGGACUGAUUUCUGGUCCCGCUAGGACGGGAUAAAGACAUGCGUAAAAACAAAUAGUUAGAGCGAUUGCCAAGACUCCGUUUCAACUGAAACCGCUCUAAAACGGAU